This 425-nucleotide ribosomal RNA is filed under the name uncultured Acetoanaerobium sp. Its description in RNAcentral is "bacterial SSU rRNA". It matches the Rfam family "Bacterial small subunit ribosomal RNA", at positions 356 to 774 of the family's 1533-position model. The record is from RNAcentral. Lineage: Bacteria; Bacillati; Bacillota; Clostridia; Peptostreptococcales; Filifactoraceae.
GGGGAAUUUUGGACAAUGGGCGAAAGCCUGAUCCAGCAAUGCCGCGUGCAGGAUGAAGGCCUUCGGGUUGUAAACUGCUGUUGUACGGAACGAAAAAGCGUCUCCUAAGACGAGAGGCCCAUGACGGUACCGUAAGAAUAAGCACCGGCUAACUACGUGCCAGCAGCCGCGGUAAUACGUAGGGUGCGAGCGUUAUCCGGAAUUACUGGGCGUAAAGGGUGCGUAGGCGGUUUAUCAAGUCAGGGGUGAAAGGCUACGGCUCAACCGUAGUGAGCCUCUGAAACUGGUGAACUUGAGUGUAGGAGAGGAAAGUGGAAUUCCCAGUGUAGCGGUGAAAUGCGUAGAUAUUGGGAGGAACACCAGUGGCGAAGGCGACUUUCUGGACUACAACUGACGCUGAGGCACGAAAGCGUGGGGAGCAAACA